RNAcentral lists this small RNA (693 nucleotides) under Pan troglodytes (chimpanzee). RNAcentral describes it as "retained intron". The record is from RNAcentral. Lineage: Eukaryota; Metazoa; Chordata; Mammalia; Primates; Hominidae.
CCUGGAGUCCCUUCCGAGCCUUCCGGAGGCCCUCCCGCCUCCGCGUGUGCCCUCCUCCAUGUCCAGCAUUCGGGCGCCUCUUGUCUUUCUUCUGUUCCCUGGCUUCGGCGUCCCCGGGAGUGUGACUCCCGCAGCGGGGUGCAGCUUUCCUCUGGGAUGAGUGACCGGAGGGAACCCGCCUUCCCGGGCCCGUCGCCAGCCUCUUCCUCUUCUUCCCUAGGCCAUCAAGCGGACUUAUGACAAGAAGGCGGUGGAUCUCUACAUGCUGUUCAAUAGCGAGCUGGCCCUGGUGAACCGUGAACGGAACAAGAAAUGGCCAGACCUGGAGCCCUACGUGGCCCAGUAUUCCGGAAAGGCGCGCUGGGUGCACAUCCUCCGGCGUCGCAUCGACAGAGUCAUGACCUGCCUUGCUGGUGCUCAUUUCCUGCCCCGUAUUGGGACUGGAAAGGAGAGUGUGCACACCUAUCAGCAGAUGGUCCAGGCCAUUGAUGAGCUGGUUCGAAAAACCUUCCAAGAGUGGACAUCAAGUCUGGACAAGGAUUGCAUUCGGCGGUUGGAUACCCCAUUGCUGCGAAUCAGCCAGGAGAAGGCGGGCAUGCUGGAUGUCAACUUUGACAAGUACGGGAGCCACCUGGCCCCUUUUCCCUAUACUCCCCUUCUGCAGCUCUCCCAAGAAUUUCACUCCCAUCUUUU